Molecule: non-coding RNA, 377 nt
Organism: Pelobates cultripes (western spadefoot toad)
Lineage: Eukaryota; Metazoa; Chordata; Amphibia; Anura; Pelobatidae
Source: the annotation of a GenBank genome assembly
UAAGAAACUCAUUUUUUUAAAGAAAAUGUAACUUGAAAAAAAGCCAUUUGUUUUGCUAUGAUGUAUCUAUUGUAAGUUGAAAACUCGAUUUAUUUCUCUAGUUUGGUUUUUCUACUUUCAUGAUAUUAUAAAUACCAAAAUAAACACUUUUUGUAUACAUGCUUUUUGGUAUACGUGCAACUAAACCUCCUCUGUAAACUUUAUUAUGUACAAGAACUCAACCGUUGGUUGCAAACGUGUUUGGUUGAGACAUUGUACACGGAUUAUGUGCUUUACAACUGUGUUUGUCCAAGUCAAGUGUCGGUGGGCAACAUUGCCAUGAAUUGUAAUGGCAUCAGUCAUGUAGCUAGCUAUGAUAACUGUGGAGAUGGAAGAAA